This is a non-coding RNA of Streptomyces autolyticus, 144 nucleotides long. NCBI's taxonomy places the organism in Bacteria, Bacillati, Actinomycetota, Actinomycetes, Kitasatosporales, Streptomycetaceae. The record is from Rfam.
CUGCCGGUGGGAGUCCGGUCCGGGUAGCUGCCAGGAGGCCCGGUAGUGGACUGGCGGUGUCGGGGGGAAGCGCCCGGGGCCGAAGCCCAGUGUCGAAAGCCCUGUUUCGGGGCGGGGGCGGGGAGUGCCGAGCCCCCGAAAUCA